RNAcentral lists this ribosomal RNA (270 nucleotides) under uncultured bacterium. RNAcentral describes it as "partial 16S ribosomal RNA". It matches the Rfam family "Bacterial small subunit ribosomal RNA", at positions 29 to 282 of the family's 1533-position model. The record is from RNAcentral.
AACGAACGUUGGCGGCGUGGAUUAGGCAUGCAAGUCGAACGCGAAAGGGUAGCAAUACCCGAGUAAAGUGGCGAACGGGUGAGUAACGCGUAGGAAACCUGCCUUCGAGUGGGGGAUAACAUCCCUAACGGGGUGCUAAUACCGCAUGAAACUGCGUAAUCGCAUGGUUGUGCAGUCAAAGGUGGCCUCUAUUUAUAAGCUACCGCUCAAAGAUGGUCCUGCGUCCCAUUAGCUAGUUGGCGGGGUAAUGGCCCACCAAGGCAUCGAUGG